AGGAAACUAUAGUGGGAAAAGGGAAUUUCUUGGUAGGAUCACCUGUAUUGGAGAGGGAAAGCUACCUACAGCAGGGAAGCUUAGGUGGUGAUGGGGGAAAUCUGGUGGUCCCUAAUCAGAAGGGAGAGCUGUGAGAGAAGUAAGAAAAGACUGGGUGGACUGCAAAUCACAUGAGUCAUGAUAUGAGGCAGACGUUCCCCAAAGAGUGGACUUAGGAAUUUCCAAUAGUUCCUGGAAACACCACAAGAGGUUCAGAUAAGCCUCUAAACUUAACUCAUUGCUCUUGAAGUCUGAAUAGUUUGGGGUUGACCCAUUUUGUUGUAAUAGUUUAACUGCAAACUUCCACUCGGACAGCAAAAUUGCUCAUGGCGAUCAAAUCCUGAAGAAGGUCUAAGCACUUUCAUGCUUGUAACAGUAUUUCUGGGUGUGGCUUUUUUGCAGAGCAAUUCAUCCCGAGCCUGUAUCCAUAUAUUGACCUGACUGCUAUUUAACUAUGAUCCUUUUAACAUUGUGUGUGAAAUUUUUAAAAUAAGGAUUUAGUGUUCCCUUCUGGGUGAACGGAAAGGGAGGCAAGAGGAAAGGAUUUCCCUAAUGGUUCAACAAAAGUACUUAGUAAGUAAUUUAUCAUCAAGUGCCAGCCUUAUCUGAAACUCGGGCCUGUCUUCCAUGAUUCACCAGUGUUUGUGGUGACCUGUUACUCAUAGAGGAAAGGAGGCAGUGUAGUAAAUCCAAACUGGUAUUCUUCAGCCCCUGUUUCCUUUGUAAAGUACACAUGAAUAAAUGUAUUUCUAUUCCACGCAUUAAAAUAUCAGAAUACUCUUCAUUUCUGAUUUUUGUAUCUCUAUUUGCAUAUGAAUCAAUAGCAUACUUUUUUACAAGUAACUGUAAGAAAGUGAAUUUACUUAUUGACUGACAUUAUCAAGCCAUCAGGCAGACACUACAGCAGAUAGAAUUGCCUUUUGUGUUGAAGUCUGCCAGCCUUUAACAGAAAAAGUGGUGUGCUUUUUGCUAGUGAGAGCUAAUACAUAGGAAGGUAAUGGGUUUUUAAAAAUGUUAUAAACCUUAAUGGUGUUAGAUCAAUAAUAUGAGUACUACAAGUAAAAUGCUCUUGCAUAUAUUAAGACCUUCUUCAAAAUGUAGCUUCUUGAAGGACUUUUUAGAAUGUAAGAGUGAUUGGUAUAUCGUCUCUACAAUAAAAUACUAAUGGAUCCAAGUUUGAAAAAUGUGAAUUGUCUGUCUUCUGUUUCAGAAAUAUGGGAACAUGUUUUAAGAAUACCUGUACAGGAUUUUCCACAGCAGCUCCCAACUAUGGCUCUGUUAAGUCUAGUGUUCCACAUAGAGUAUUAUACCAGUAUCUGAUCUUCAGGGGAAAUUGAAACUCCUUUGUGGUUUAGCUAGUCAAUUCUGCAAGGCUGUACGGUUUGCUUGAGACAGAACUCCUUCCUAUUCCCUGUUGAUUUAUAGCCUGAAGCAGUGUAGCUAAGCCUUACAUGUUAAUGUUUAUUAAACAUGUUCUUUUGGAUCUCACCAGGCCUGUGAUUUUUCUUGUUGUGUAUGUUGUGUUAAGGUCAAGAGAGACCAUUGGACUCUCUUACUGACUUCUAAUGGUCGUUUUUUGUGGGGGUUUUUUUGUUUUUUUUUAAAAACCUCUGCCUCAUGUCUGCAUCCCUUGGGCUUUGCAAUUUAUUAUGCCAAGUUUUAGCCUGAUAUAAAAG
Molecule: long non-coding RNA, 1715 nt
Organism: Dermochelys coriacea (leatherback sea turtle)
Lineage: Eukaryota; Metazoa; Chordata; Testudines; Dermochelyidae
Exons: 3
Source: RefSeq, a predicted model, not a curated record